Molecule: ribosomal RNA, 253 nt
Filed under: uncultured bacterium
Lineage: Bacteria
Description: partial 16S ribosomal RNA
Rfam family: Bacterial small subunit ribosomal RNA
Source: RNAcentral
UCCAGAGGGGGCAAGCGUUGUUCGGAAUUACUGGGCGUAAAGGGCGCGUAGGCGGCCUGUUAAGUCGAACGUGAAAUCCCCGGGCUCAACCCGGGAACUGCGUCCGAUACUGGCAGGCUUGAAUUCGGGAGAGGGAUGCGGAAUUCCAGGUGUAGCGGUGAAAUGCGUAGAUAUCUGGAGGAACACGGGUGGCGAAGGCGGCAUCCUGGACCGAGAUUGACGCUGAGGCGCGAAAGCCAGGGGAGCAAACGGG